GACAGAAGAAAGUGAUAAUUAUAAACGGAAAUCCCGGAAAGAUCGGUAGGUCCUAUGUGGCAGAGAACAAAGGUUCUGAUAAUAGCCUCUUGGCUAUAUUCUUCCCCACCGCAGGGCUUCGCUACGCUUUCCCCCUACACUCAGCCAGAGCAGCAGCGCCUUGACGUCUUGUCGGAAAUAAGCUGAGGGGUUGGGAAUUUUUUCUUGGGAGCCCGGUGGAGUCCCGGCCCCAGCACCCAGUUGCACUCAUUUUGCAAAAACUAUAAAAUCUACGUAACAUCUCCGUAAGCUUGCCAUCAACUUGAUGUAACCUUGCCAUAACCUCUGCGCAAACGCCACAGCCUACAGUGUAGAACCGCUAAGAGGGCCAUGAAUAUUUCUUAGGCUGCAAUCGAAGCCUAAAGCACCGUCUUUUUUUAUUAAUUAAACUUAAAUUUU
RNAcentral lists this long non-coding RNA (438 nucleotides) under Drosophila guanche. The record is from RNAcentral. Lineage: Eukaryota; Metazoa; Arthropoda; Insecta; Diptera; Drosophilidae.